AAAGGACCCUCAGCCAUUUCCAUGUGACGGCCACAGGCUGUGGCUGUGCUCUGGUCCAGCUGCAGCCACUGACAGGUGGGUCCGAGCAGUGCUCUGCUGGGGAUCUGAGGCCCGUGAGGAAGACAGUGCUUACCAGCCAGGGAACAUCUGGUGGACCCCAAGAGUGUGUGAGUGGGCAGUGAGAGGCUGCAGUUUUAGGUGCAUACCCACAGCCUAGCACCUGGCAUAUAUCCUUAUUCAUAGAGGCUUCGGUUCUGUUGGGUUGGACCCCCAGGCUGGGGGGCUUGGCAGCUGACACUGUUAUUUUCUCAUGGUCCUCUCUGGAGGCGGAGGUCAUCUCACAGUUCCUUACGAUGUAGGGAUGGGGGCAGUACUGCAUGGUCAGGAAGAGCAACUGCCUCCCAACCCCCACUUUUCCACGUUUCAGUCUUCCCCAGUCAGCUGCAGGUGCACAUGGCUCUACAGCUCUGCCCAAUUCUUGGAGACCACACCUAUGCGGCUCGCGUGGGCAGCGUUCUGGGCCAGCGCUUUCUGUGGCCAGCAGAGACUACCAAGCCCCAGAGACAGGUAGGUCCCCUGCCCCAUAUGCCUCCUCUUUGUGGGUUGGAGAGACUGUGUCUCCAGAUACCGUGCACAUUCGGACCAGGAAGCAGCUGGCUUGCUCUCUGGGGCCACCUGUGGUCCUGUGGUUGCUGUGUGGCUUAGGUCUCCUGUCCAUGAACUGAGGGGGUGGAAGCUGACCUCAG
Molecule: long non-coding RNA, 746 nt
Filed under: Rattus norvegicus (Norway rat)
Lineage: Eukaryota; Metazoa; Chordata; Mammalia; Rodentia; Muridae
Description: long non-coding RNA NONRATT021705
Source: RNAcentral